GAUAUCAGGGGCAAAAGUCAUGAAACACGACGUGCUUGCACGGGAGUGGUUCUAUGACUUAUUGACCCGCUCCAAUAUGAGGAUAAAAGUGGAGCGUAAGCUCCGCGAUAUCCGAAUAUUGGGAUGGAUCGUGGGAGCGUGAAACGCGAAACAAUCCAUAGAUA
This 164-nucleotide small RNA is filed under the name uncultured Eisenbergiella sp. RNAcentral's name for it is "Clostridiales-1 RNA". It matches the Rfam family "Clostridiales-1 RNA". Lineage: Bacteria; Bacillati; Bacillota; Clostridia; Lachnospirales; Lachnospiraceae. The record is from RNAcentral.